This 307-nucleotide ribosomal RNA is filed under the name uncultured bacterium. RNAcentral's name for it is "partial 16S ribosomal RNA". It matches the Rfam family "Bacterial small subunit ribosomal RNA", at positions 354 to 653 of the family's 1533-position model. The record is from RNAcentral.
GUAGGGAAUCUUCCACAAUGGACGCAAGUCUGAUGGAGCAACGCCGCGUGAGUGAAGAAGGCUUUCGGGUCGUAAAACUCUGUUAUUGAAGAAGAACGUGUGUGACAGUAACUGGUCAUGCAGUGACGGUAUUCAAUCAGAAAGUCACAGCUAACUACGUGCCAGCAGCCGCGGUAAUACGUAGGUGGCAAGCGUUGUCCGGAUUUAUUGGGCGUAAAGCGAGUGCAGGCGGUCUUUUAAGUCUGAUGUGAAAGCCUUCGGCUUAACCGAAGAAGGGCAUCGGAAACUGGGAGACUUGAGUGCAGAA